GGAAAAAGGACUAAAUGUUCUCAGGAUUGAAUAUAUUUGGUUUGCUUAUGUUUUACCUUUAAAAAAAAACAUUUUUUAAAAAUCAGAUUAUAGUAGAUUUUACAGUGCAAAGUGAUGUGAGACUGUUAAAGUAUUGUCAUGCACAUGGUUACAGACUGCUAUAUCAUUCUUUAUUAUGAAAUGAUAAUCUUGUAAGAAAUCCCCCUUUUGCUGGAUGUGUCUGUAAUCUGAUUACAUUUUCUUUUUUUCUGUUACAACCAAGAUAUACAUACACACACAUAUGCAUGUAGUCAUCAUGUUAUAUUAAAGCACUUCCUCAUCUGUCUAGGUGAACAGUGGGACUUGUCUUCAGCUUCAAGUGGAACAGCACUGACCUGUAUGGUGAUCAGACCUGGAGAGGAGAGACAUCUGCCAACCAGGUGAUGGACGGUUGACAGGACGACUCACCAAGACGAACAAGACGAGCCAAACAGUGGAGAGGGGCCGCCACAGGAGCCUGAAGGGAAAGUAACGAGAGCAGCCAGGAGCUGAAAGCGUGGGCAGAGGAACAGGCUGCUGAGGACGAGUUGGACGACGGUUUCAUAAAGUGAAUCUUGAUUUCCUGUAAUCGAGCUUUGUGGACUGACAGUUUGCAUGGUUGGUGCUCGGCCCGGGACAAGAGAGACACCUGGUCCAGUAAGGUGAUGGACGGUUGACAGGACGACUCACCAAGACGAACAAGACGAGCCAAACAGUGGAGAGGGGCCGCCACAGGAGCCUGAAGGGAAAGUAACGAGAGCAGCCAGGAGCUGAAAGCGUGGGCAGAGGAACAGGCUGCUGAGGACGAGUUGGACGACGGUUUCAUAAAGUGAAUCUUGAUUUCCUGUAAUCGAGCUUUGUGGACUGACAGUUUGCAUGGUUGGUGCUCGGCCCGGGACAAGAGAGACACCUGGUCCAGUAAGGUGAUGGACGGUUGACAGGACGACUCACCAAGACGAACAAGGCGAGCCAAACAGUGGAGAGGGGCCGCCACAGGAGCCUGAAGGGAAAGUAACGAGAGCAGCCAGGAGCUGAAAGCGUGGGCAGAGGAACAGGCUGCUGAGGACGAGUUGGACGACGGUUUCAUAAAGUGAAUCUUGAUUUCCUGUAAUCGAGCUUUGUGGACUGACAGUUUGCAUGGUUGGUGCUCGGCCCGGGACAAGAGAGACACCUGGUCCAGUAAGGUGAUGGACGGUUGAAAGGACAAAUCAUCAACAAGAGCCAAACAUUGGAGAUGAGCUGCCACAGGAGCCUGAAGGACAAGUAACAAGAGCAGUCAGGAGCUGAAAGUGUGGGCAGAGGAACAGGAUGCUGAGGACGAGUUGGAGGACGGUUCCCUGAACUGAAUCCUGAGAUCCUAUAAUCAAGUUUUGUGGACUGACAGUGUGUAUGGUUGGUGCUCGGCCCAGGACAGGGGAGACAACUGGUCCAAUAAGGUGGCGUUUGAAAGGCCGUAUUACCAAGACAAACAAGACGAGCCAAACAAUUCAGACGAGCCACCACAGGAGCCUCAAAAUGAGAGGAGCCGUGAGCUGAAAGUGUGGGCAGAGGAACAGGCUGUUGAGGAGGAGUUGGACGACAGUUACCUGAGCUGAAUCCCAAUUUCCUGUAAUGAAGUUUUGUGGAGUGACAUGUUGUCUAGUUGGUGCUCGGCCCAGGACAGGAAGGCCCUGCAGUGGGUGAUCCAUCCACCCACAGAGCAUCAGUGACAGUGACGAGGUCUCUUCCUGCUGAUCCCGGAGGUGAUGACAGUGUCAUCCUGUCAAGAACGUCGGUCAUGAAUAUUUUAGAAGCUGGAUGAAGUCAACAGCUGCCUAUAAAGAGGGGGGGUCCUCAGCACAGGACACGUCCACACGUCUAGAGAUCCUCCACCGAUUGAAGAGAAAAGGUCUCCACCCUGUUUGUGUUUUUCA
Acanthopagrus latus (yellowfin seabream) is the source of this 1931-nucleotide long non-coding RNA. RefSeq lists it as uncharacterized. The transcript has 12 exons. NCBI's taxonomy places the organism in Eukaryota, Metazoa, Chordata, Actinopteri, Spariformes, Sparidae. The record is from RefSeq and is a predicted model, not a curated record.